CCUACGGGAGGCAGCAGUGGGGAAUAUUGGACAAUGGGCGAAAGCCUGAUCCAGCAAUGCCGCGUGAGUGAUGAAGGCCUUCGGGUCGUAAAGCUCCUUUACCAGGGAUGAUAAUGACAGUACCUGGAGAAUAAGCUCCGGCUAACUCCGUGCCAGCAGCCGCGGUAAUACGGAGGGAGCUAGCGUUGUUCGGAAUUACUGGGCGUAAAGAGUACGUAGGCGGUUAUUCAAGUCAGAGGUGAAAGCCCGGGGCUCAACCCCGGAACUGCCUUUGAAACUAGAUAACUAGAGUCUUGGAGAGGUUAGUGGAAUUCCGAGUGUAGAGGUGAAAUUCGUAGAUAUUCGGAAGAACACCAGUGGCGAAGGCGACUAACUGGACAAGUACUGACGCUGAGGUACGAAAGCGUGGGGAGCAAACAGGAUUAGAUACCCUGGUAGUCCACGCCGUAAACGAUGAUAACUAGUUGUUCGGUCACUUGGUGACUGAGUGACGCAGCUAACGCAUUAAGUUAUCCGCCUGGGGAGUACGGUCGCAAGAUUAAAACUCAAAGGAAUUGACGGCNGAAGAGUGCGAGAGACACGAGGAGAGG
Molecule: ribosomal RNA, 590 nt
Filed under: uncultured bacterium
Lineage: Bacteria
Description: bacterial SSU rRNA
Rfam family: Bacterial small subunit ribosomal RNA
Source: RNAcentral